This 384-nucleotide long non-coding RNA is filed under the name Androctonus crassicauda. The record is from RNAcentral. Lineage: Eukaryota; Metazoa; Arthropoda; Arachnida; Scorpiones; Buthidae.
CUGUUGUGUAAGCAUAAUUGAUUUUACACCUAUUGGACGGAGCUCUGCACCUGUCUCUUUAGCACUGCCACCAUAUCUGGUCUCUAAGCAGCCGUUCUGACCACUGACAGACCAUAGAGCUUACCUAGACCCCAGUUUGAUGCCACAGCCAGGCAGCCUGCAGUGCGUGGAUGUCUGUUGUUACACUCUGGUGGUGUCAUAGAUAGUGCGGUGGAGCAGGAGGUAAUGAAUAUCUGAGAUCCCUACCUCCAGUUCCAAACAGCUCAUGAGUGUGUUAAGAUGAAUAAGGACCAAGGAAUAUUCGUGACUCAUGAAGAGGGUGGCCAUGACUUGGAACUGGCAUGGUAGGGCCUGGCCUGCUGUAUUUCCUGCAGGUACACAGCG